RNAcentral lists this ribosomal RNA (684 nucleotides) under uncultured bacterium. Its description in RNAcentral is "bacterial SSU rRNA". It matches the Rfam family "Bacterial small subunit ribosomal RNA", at positions 132 to 811 of the family's 1533-position model. The record is from RNAcentral.
GAACGUGGGGGAUAACGUAGGGAAAACUUACGCUAAUACCGCAUACGUCUACGGGAGAAAGCAGGGGACUUUCGGGCCUUGCGCGGUCAGACGGACCGAUGUUCGAUUAGCUAGUUGGUGAGGUAAUGGCUCACCAAGGCGACGAUCGAUAGCUGGUCUGAGAGGAUGAUCAGCCACACUGGAACUGAGACACGGUCCAGACUCCUACGGGAGGCAGCAGUGGGGAAUAUUGGACAAUGGGCGCAAGCCUGAUCCAGCAAUGCCGCGUGUGUGAAGAAGGCCUUCGGGUUGUAAAGCACUUUUAUCGGGAGCGAAAUACCAUCGGUUAAUACCCGGUGGGGCUGACGGUACCCGAGGAAUAAGCACCGGCUAACUCCGUGCCAGCAGCCGCGGUAAUACGGAGGGUGCGAGCGUUAUCCGGAUUCACUGGGUUUAAAGGGUGCGCAGGCGGGCUUUUAAGUCAGCGGUGAAACCCGCGGGCUCAACCCGCGGACUGCCGAUGAUACUAGGGGCCUUGGAUGUCGCUGAGGGCAGCGGAAUGGGGCAUGUAGCGGUGAAAUGCAUAGAUAUGCCCCGGAACACCGAUUGCGGAGGCAGCUGCCUAAAGGACGAUCGACGCUGAGGCACGAAAGCGUGGGUAGCGAACAGGAUUAGAUACCCUGGUAGUCCACGCCCUAAACGAUG